CGGUUAAGUUAGAAAGGGCGCACGGUGGAUGCCUUGGCACUAGGAGCCGAUGAAGGACGGGACGAACACCGAUAUGCUUCGGGGAGCUGUAAGCAAGCUUUGAUCCGGAGAUUUCCGAAUGGGGAAACCCACCACUCGUAAUGGAGUGGUAUCCAUAUCUGAAUACAUAGGAUAUGAGAAGGCAGACCCGGGGAACUGAAACAUCUAAGUACCCGGAGGAAGAGAAAGCAAAUGCGAUUCCCUGAGUAGCGGCGAGCGAAACGGGACCAGCCCAAACCAAGAGGCUUGCCUCUUGGGGUUGUAGGACACUCUGUACGGAGUUACAAAGGAACGAGGUAGAUGAAGAGGUCUGGAAAGGCCCGCCAUAGGAGGUAACAGCCCUGUAGUCAAAACUUCGUUCUCUCCUGAGUGGAUCCUGAGUACGGCGGAACACGUGAAAUUCCGUCGGAAUCCGGGAGGACCAUCUCCCAAGGCUAAAUACUCCCUAGUGACCGAUAGUGAACCAGUACCGUGAGGGAAAGGUGAAAAGCACCCCGGAAGGGGAGUGAAAGAGAUCCUGAAACCGUGUGCCUACAAGUAGUCAGAGCCCGUUAACGGGUGAUGGCGUGCCUUUUGUAGAAUGAACCGGCGAGUUACGAUCCCGUGCAAGGUUAAGCAGAAGAUGCGGAGCCGCAGCGAAAGCGAGUCUGAAUAGGGCGAAUUGAGUACGUGGUCGUAGACCCGAAACCAGGUGAUCUACCCAUGUCCAGGGUGAAGUUCAGGUAACACUGAAUGGAGGCCCGAACCCACGCACGUUGAAAAGUGCGGGGAUGAGGUGUGGGUAGGGGUGAAAUGCCAAUCGAACCUGGAGAUAGCUGGUUCUCUCCGAAAUAGCUUUAGGGCUAGCCUCAAGGUAAGAGUCUCGGAGGUAGAGCACUGAUUGGACUAGGGGCCCCUACCGGGUUACCGAAUUCAGUCAAACUCCGAAUGCCGAUGACUUAUCCUUGGGAGUCAGACUGCGAGUGAUAAGAUCCGUAGUCGAAAGGGAAACAGCCCAGACCGCCAGCUAAGGUCCCAAAGUAUACGUUAAGUGGAAAAGGAUGUGGAGUUGCUUAGACAACCAGGAUGUUGGCUUAGAAGCAGCCACCAUUUAAAGAGUGCGUAAUAGCUCACUGGUCGAGUGACUCUGCGCCGAAAAUGUACCGGGGCUAAACGUAUCACCGAAGCUGCGGACUGUUCUUCGAACAGUGGUAGGAGAGCGUUCUAAGGGCUGUGAAGCAAGACCGGAAGGACUUGUGGAGCGCUUAGAAGUGAGAAUGCCGGUAUGAGUAGCGAAAGAGGGGUGAGAAUCCCCUCCACCGAAUGCCUAAGGUUUCCUGAGGAAGGCUCGUCCGCUCAGGGUUAGUCGGGACCUAAGCCGAGGCCGAAAGGCGUAGGCGAUGGAUAACAGGUUGAUAUUCCUGUACCACCUCCUCACCAUUUGAGCAAUGGGGGGACGCAGGAGGAUAGGGUAAGCGCGGUAUUGGAUAUCCGCGUCCAAGCAGUUAGGCUGGGAAAUAGGCAAAUCCGUUUCCCGUGAAGGCUGAGCUGUGAUGGCGAGCGAAUUAUAGUAGCGAAGUUCCUGAUUCCACACUGCCAAGAAAAGCCUCUAGCGAGGUGAGAGGUGCCCGUACCGCAAACCGACACAGGUAGGCGAGGAGAGAAUCCUAAGGUGAUCGAGAGAACUCUCGUUAAGGAACUCGGCAAAAUGACCCCGUAACUUCGGGAGAAGGGGUGCUCUGUUAGGGUGCAAGCCCGAGAGAGCCGCAGUGAAUAGGCCCAGGCGACUGUUUAGCAAAAACACAGGUCUCUGCGAAGCCGUAAGGCGAAGUAUAGGGGCUGACGCCUGCCCGGUGCUGGAAGGUUAAGAGGAGCGCUUAGCGUAAGCGAAGGUGCGAAUUGAAGCCCCAGUAAACGGCGGCCGUAACUAUAACGGUCCUAAGGUAGCGAAAUUCCUUGUCGGGUAAGUUCCGACCCGCACGAAAGGCGCAACGAUCUGGGCACUGUCUCAACGAGAGACUCGGUGAAAUUAUAGUACCUGUGAAGAUGCAGGUUACCCGCGACAGGACGGAAAGACCCCGUGGAGCUUUACUGCAGCCUGAUAUUGAAUGUUGGUACAGCUUGUACAGGAUAGGUAGGAGCCUUGGAAACCGGAGCGCCAGCUUCGGUGGAGGCAUCGGUGGGAUACUACCCUGGCUGUAUUGACCUUCUAACCCGCCGCCCCUUAUCGGGCGGGGAGACAGUGUCAGGUGGGCAGUUUGACUGGGGCGGUCGCCUCCUAAAAGGUAAACGGAGGCGCCCAAAGGUUCCCUCAGAAUGGUUGGAAAUCAUUCGCAGAGUGUAAAGGCACAAGGGAGCUUGACUGCGAGACCUACAAGUCGAGCAGGGACGAAAGUCGGGCUUAGUGAUCCGGUGGUUCCGCAUGGAAGGGCCAUCGCUCAACGGAUAAAAGCUACCCCGGGGAUAACAGGCUUAUCUCCCCCAAGAGUCCACAUCGACGGGGAGGUUUGGCACCUCGAUGUCGGCUCAUCGCAUCCUGGGGCUGUAGUCGGUCCCAAGGGUUGGGCUGUUCGCCCAUUAAAGCGGUACGCGAGCUGGGUUCAGAACGUCGUGAGACAGUUCGGUCCCUAUCCGUCGCGGGCGCAGGAAAUUUGAGAGGAGCUGUCCUUAGUACGAGAGGACCGGGAUGGACGCACCGCUGGUGUACCAGUUGUUCUGCCAAGGGCAUCGCUGGGUAGCUAUGUGCGGACGGGAUAAGUGCUGAAAGCAUCUAAGCAUGAAGCCCCCCUCAAGAUGAGAUUUCCCAUUCCGCAAGGAAGUAAGAUCCCUGAAAGAUGAUCAGGUUGAUAGGUCUGAGGUGGAAGUGUGGCGACACAUGGAGCUGACAGAUACUAAUCGAUCGAGGACUUAACCAAUUU
RNAcentral lists this ribosomal RNA (2936 nucleotides) under Bacillus velezensis. Its description in RNAcentral is "bacterial LSU rRNA". It matches the Rfam family "Bacterial large subunit ribosomal RNA". The record is from RNAcentral. Lineage: Bacteria; Bacillati; Bacillota; Bacilli; Caryophanales; Bacillaceae.